CCUACGGGGUGCAGCAGUGGGGAAUAUUGGACAAUGGGCGAAAGCCUGAUCCAGCCAUGCCGCGUGUGUGAAGAAGGCCUUCGGGUUGUAAAGCACUUUCAGUGGGGAAGAAAGCCUUGGGGCUAAUACCCUCGAGGAAGGACAUCACCCACAGAAGAAGCACCGGCUAACUCCGUGCCAGCAGCCGCGGUAAUACGGAGGGUGCGAGCGUUAAUCGGAAUUACUGGGCGUAAAGCGCGCGUAGGCGGUCUGAUAAGCCGGUUGUGAAAGUCCCGGGCUCAACCUGGGAACGGCAUCCGGAACUGUCAGGCUAGAGUGCAGGAGAGGAAGGUAGAAGUCCCGGUGUAGCGGUGAAAUGCGUAGAGAUCGGGAGGAAUACCAGUGGCGAAGGCGGCCUUCUGGACUGACACUGACGCUGAGGUGCGAAAGCGUGGGUAGCAAACAGGAUUAGAUACCCUAGUAGUC
This 465-nucleotide ribosomal RNA is filed under the name Vreelandella stevensii. Its description in RNAcentral is "partial 16S ribosomal RNA". It matches the Rfam family "Bacterial small subunit ribosomal RNA", at positions 338 to 795 of the family's 1533-position model. The record is from RNAcentral. Lineage: Bacteria; Pseudomonadati; Pseudomonadota; Gammaproteobacteria; Oceanospirillales; Halomonadaceae.